This 235-nucleotide ribosomal RNA is filed under the name uncultured bacterium. RNAcentral's name for it is "partial 16S ribosomal RNA". It matches the Rfam family "Bacterial small subunit ribosomal RNA", at positions 15 to 244 of the family's 1533-position model. The record is from RNAcentral.
GAUCAUGGCUCAGGAUGAACGCUAGCGACAGGCUUAACACAUGCAAGUCGAGGGGCAGCACGAUGUAGCAAUACAUUGGUGGCGACCGGCGCACGGGUGAGUAACGCGUAUGCAACCUACCUAUCAGAGGGGAAUAACCCGGCGAAAGUCGGACUAAUACCGCAUAAAACAGGGGUUCCACAUGGAAAUAUUUGUUAAAGAAUUAUCGCUGAUAGAUGGGCAUGCGUUCCAUUAG